GAGCCCAAUGUCAUUUUGUUUCAUCCGGUAUGGGUGUCAGCGGGCUCCUAACUGUCGCUCUCCAUGUUCCAGUGUUUAGAGAUCCACGGACCAGGCCAAACUACGUAGGUAUCAUUCAUGGUGUCAUGGAAGAUCAGCAUAUGUCUGUGCACAUGAGAAUUGGACAUGUUGCCAUUGGAAUCAACAUCAGUGCUUAUCAUAUCUCUCUAAAUAUGAUCUUGUCUUGGAACAGCAUGGUACUCUUUGCGCAUCUGUCAGUCUGCAGGUUGUGAUUUGGCGAUACGUCAUCACUCUUGGACAUUCUAUGAGAGUUACUUGAUGGAUGAAAAGAAACAGUUGGUGUCUGUGAGCUAUUUGGGAAGGCUAUUUGGACUGUAUGGCCUUCCAUAUCAUCUGUUGUGAGAUCAGGAUUUCAACUUCAUUUUUAUAACAGACACUUGCAAACAUGGGACAUCUAUCACAGACGCCCCCAUGGUUUUGCAGGUUAAAAUAGACCCCAAGACUCGAUUGUGUACAGACCACCGAAACAUAGAUGGGAUGUAGCUGCCUGUGGCGUUUUACAACAAAACGAAGUAUACUUUUCUUUUAAUAUCAAUUUAACGCCGAUUGUGCAUUGGGUAUGUGUUAUUAUAUCUGGUGUCUGAAAAUGAUGUUAUAACCUUACAUUUAUGAUUUAUCAAUAAACAUAUGUAACAUGAA
Long non-coding RNA from Haliotis rufescens (red abalone), 699 nucleotides. RefSeq lists it as uncharacterized. NCBI's taxonomy places the organism in Eukaryota, Metazoa, Mollusca, Gastropoda, Lepetellida, Haliotidae. The transcript has 2 exons. The record is from RefSeq and is a predicted model, not a curated record.